AUUGAACGCUGGCGGCAGGCCUAACACAUGCAAGUCGAGCGCGCAAGUUCUUCGGUUUGUGUAAAGCGGCGGACGGGUGAGUAAUGCAUGGGAAUCUGCCUGCUAGUGUUGGACAAUGUCUCGAAUUGGACGCUCAUACCGCAUACGCCCUACGUAUGUUAGGGGGGGUUCUUCGGUCCUCUCGCUCUCUUUUGAUCCCAUGUCUGAUUAGCUAGUUGGUGGGGUAAAGGCUUACCAAGGCGACGAUCUGUAACUGGUCUGAGAGGAUGAUCAGUCACACUGGAACUGAGACACGGUCAAGACUCCUACGGGAGGCAGCAGUAGGGAAUAUUGGACAAUGGGCGAAAGCCUGAUGGAGCCAUGCCGCGUGAGUGAAGAAGGCCUUAGGGUUGUAAAACACUUUCAGUAGGGAGAAAGACAGGUGAAAGAAAACGUAGACAGAUUGAUGUUACCUACAGAGAAAGCACCGGCUAACUCCGUG
RNAcentral lists this ribosomal RNA (481 nucleotides) under uncultured bacterium. RNAcentral's name for it is "partial 16S ribosomal RNA". It matches the Rfam family "Bacterial small subunit ribosomal RNA", at positions 30 to 507 of the family's 1533-position model. The record is from RNAcentral.